GUGCUCGCUUCAGCAGCACAUAUACUAAAAAUGGGAACAAUAUAGAGAAGAUUAGCAUGGCCCCUGUGCAAGGAUGACAUGAAAAUUUGUGAAAUGUUCCGUAUUUUU
Molecule: small nuclear RNA, 108 nt
Organism: Nannospalax galili (Upper Galilee mountains blind mole rat)
Lineage: Eukaryota; Metazoa; Chordata; Mammalia; Rodentia; Spalacidae
Source: Ensembl